UACUUUGGUACACUACAAUAUGUAUAAAAAAGAGUUAUGUGGAUCCACCUACUGUCCUCAAGGAGUACAUUGUUUUCUCAUUUGCUACAUUUGCACUCGUGGAGCCUUUUGGACUGGCUCCUUACAUACCUCAAGCUUCACAAACCAUAAGACCUGUUUCACCUUACUCACUUCACUUCACCAAGCCUGCAUUAACAAUUCAGCAGUUAACAGUCAAUCAUGACAGCAUAACAGAUGGGUAAACCGCAUUUCAAAACCUGCAAUACAUCCAAUAUAAAAGUCAAGCCUUGAAAUUUUUCCAACAUGCCUUGAAUNGUGCCGUUGCCAAUGAUUCUGAAUCUGAUGACAAUGACCUAUACUUAGCAGAAUGUAGAAUAUUACUUGCUGGUUUUUGAAGCUUCUGAAAUGCGGAAGCUAGUUAAUAUGGUGCGUAAAGGUGGAGGCUCCCGAUACAUGUAUUUUAAUGAUAAGUUGACACACAUAGUAAUUGGGAAUCCUACAGAAAUAAAAAGAAGGAAGUAAGAAGUAUUGCUGCUCCUGGUGUCGUUUAUGUUGUUAAAACCUCAUGGCUUGAUAACUGUGACCGUGUAAAGAAACAAGUCCCUGUUCUUCGACGACACAUUGCAUGGAUUGGCUGUAGUUAAAUAAGAUAUUUAAGCAGAACUUGCUCCAUGGAUUGGCCAUUGGCUUUGCAUUUGGUGCGCUUCUACUUUGGUACACUACAAUAUGUAUAAAAAAGAGUUAUGUGGAUCCACCUACUGUCCUCAAGGAGUACAUUGUUUUCUCAUUUGCUACAUUUGCACUCGUGGAGCCUUUUGGACUGGCUCCUUACAUACCUCAAGCUUCACAAACCAUAAGACCUGUUUCACCUUACUCACUUCACUUCACCAAGCCUGCAUUAACAAUUCAGCAGUUAACAGUCAAUCAUGACAGCAUAACAGAUGGGUAAACCGCAUUUCAAAACCUGCAAUACAUCCAAUAUAAAAGUCAAGCCUUGAAAUUUUUCCAACAUGCCUUGAAUUAAAACCACAAGUGCUGUCAGUGACCAAACCAAAACCUGCUAUGAAAAGAC
This 1072-nucleotide long non-coding RNA is filed under the name Lathyrus oleraceus (garden pea). Its description in RNAcentral is "Pisum sativum (pea) long non-coding RNA (PSAT_LNC041257)". Lineage: Eukaryota; Viridiplantae; Streptophyta; Magnoliopsida; Fabales; Fabaceae. The record is from RNAcentral.